GAUGAACGCUAGCUACAGGCUUAACACAUGCAAGUCGAGGGGAAACGGCAUUAAGUGCUUGCACUUUUUGGACGUCGACCGGCGCACGGGUGAGUAACGCGUAUCCAACCUUCCCAUGACUAAGGGAUAACCUGCCGAAAGGCAGACUAAUACCUUAUGGUCUUCACUGACGGCAUCAGAUGUGAAGUAAAGAUUUAUCGGUUAUGGAUGGGGAUGCGUCUGAUUAGCUUGUUGGCGGGGUAACGGCCCACCAAGGCAACGAUCAGUAGGGGCUCUGAGAGGAAGGUCCCCCACAUUGGAACUGAGACACGGUCCAAACUCCUACGGGAGGCAGCAGUGAGGAAUAUUGGUCAAUGGGCGAGAGCCUGAACCAGCCAAGUAGCGUGCAGGAUGACGGCCCUAUGGGUUGUAAACUGCUUUUGUAUGGGGAUAAAGUCAGUCACGUGUGAUUGUUUGCAGGUACCAUACGAAUAAGGACCGGCUAAUUCCGUGCCAGCAGCCGCGGUAAUACGGAAGGUCCGGGCGUUAUCCGGAUUUAUUGGGUUUAAGGGAGCGUAGGCUGGAGAUUAAGUGUGUUGUGAAAUGUAGACGCUCAACGUCUGACUUGCAGCGCAUACUGGUUUCCUUGAGUACGCACAACGUUGGCGGAAUUCGUCGUGUAGCGGUGAAAUGCUUAGAUAUGACGAAGAACUCCGAUUGCGAAGGCAGCUGACGGGAGCGCAACUGACGCUGAAGCUCGAAGGUGCGGGUAUCGAACAGG
This 760-nucleotide ribosomal RNA is filed under the name Prevotella melaninogenica. RNAcentral's name for it is "bacterial SSU rRNA". It matches the Rfam family "Bacterial small subunit ribosomal RNA", at positions 28 to 776 of the family's 1533-position model. The record is from RNAcentral. Lineage: Bacteria; Pseudomonadati; Bacteroidota; Bacteroidia; Bacteroidales; Prevotellaceae.